UUUACACCUAUUUACAUGGACACCUUGGGCCAAUAGAAAUCAUUUCCAUUUGAAGACAAGGCAAGGGGUGAAAAGGCUCAGCAACCGGAAUUGAAGUGUGAUGGUACCCAGUAACAGUGUGUGUGAAGCGGAAUACCCCACCACCUGGCUGUGUAGGGAACUGCAGCCGACCAGGGGAUACAAAGCUACAUCAGCACUACACCCACAUGAUUCUGGAGAUCAUAUGGAUCCCAGAGGUUGAUCCUACCCCAGUGAUAAAGUUCUGGUAUAUCCUGGCAAUAUGCCUAAUUUUCCGGUCCUGGACAGGUAGCAUACCAUUUUCUGGUACAGUGUAACAUAUGUGGAUUUUCCAACAUUGACGUCCACCACAAGCUUUUGCAGUAAUUUUGAGCGGCGUGCCACUCUCGGGAAAGUCCAACACUACUUCGCCACUGCCUUGCCACCCACAAAGCUGGCAAAAGGAGGUCAUGUGAUUAUAACUAACCUCCAGUGAACCAAAGGAUGGCUAAUUCCUAGUGUCUAAAAGCAGCAUUGAUCCCUUUCCAAUGAAUGAUCUUUGCAUUCAGAAAAAAACAAGCACUUUCUACAGGAAAGAGGUCAUUUGCAAAAAGUCUGGACAUGAAAGACUUUCAGACACAAUAUGGAGUUUUUCAUGUUGAAAUAAAAAGGUACUGACUUAGAAUAAUAAAAUAUCUCAAAUGUAUUUCUUUUUAUAC
This is a long non-coding RNA of Hyla sarda, 716 nucleotides long. RefSeq lists it as uncharacterized. The record is from RefSeq and is a predicted model, not a curated record. Lineage: Eukaryota; Metazoa; Chordata; Amphibia; Anura; Hylidae. The transcript is spliced from 4 exons.